Molecule: long non-coding RNA, 7239 nt
Filed under: Marmota monax (woodchuck)
Lineage: Eukaryota; Metazoa; Chordata; Mammalia; Rodentia; Sciuridae
Source: RNAcentral
UAAGAGUUAGUUCAGAUCGCCUAGUCGAAGGGAAUUUUUCAAUCAGGCAGUAGUUAGGACAGCCGAUACCUGCACCUCCAGCCAGGGCCCCAGCAGAAGGGAGGAGUGUUCCAAGGACCGGAGGCAGGAAGUGGAUUGGUCGCCAGGAAAGGGAAAGCGCCUGAAUUGGAGAUGCGCAAGCGCAGGCACUUCGCAGGUGGCGGGGAGUAGCGAGAAUGAGGCGGGGCUAGGCUAACUGGAGGCGAGGAGGAGCGGUGGAAUAGCAGAAUUACGGAGCGCUGUUAAGGACAAGUUUGGUCGCGUGAUUCUCAUCGGGGUGUCCCGAUGCGAACCGUAAGGUGGAGGUUCAAGUAGGGAAAGUUUGAUUGGACUAAUUCAAGGGGAGAGGUUUGAAGAUUUAGGAAAUUGGAGCAGGGGGAGAAGGUAGAAACUGCUAAAAUAUGGGUCUAGAUUGAUGAGUGCCCUAAAUGACUCCGAAAGUCCCGUAGGGGAAUUUCCAGAAGCAGCUUCGGGUGUUCUACCUAAAAAUAAAAUGAAGAGAAAAUUGAAGUACCUUGUGUUCUAGCAAGCGAAUUUUAAAAAUUACAACGAACUCACUCGUUAAAAAAAUAAGGUUAGUCUUGUUUCCCGAAUGCGAACCAAAGUCAACUUUUUAAGAUGGAUAUCAGCUGCUCCACGCUACACACUUCCUGUUCGAUUGCUGAAAUUGUGCAUCUGAAACACUUUUAAGAUUUGUCAGCAUAAUUUGGUUGGAUGUUGUUACCGGUUGGCUUUGGUUGGUCGGAAGCCAAAGGAACAAAGGUACAAAACUAGUCUUCAUUCUUGCUUGACAUGGGGCGCCCCACUGGAUAACCAAGCCCAGAAAAUGAGCUGCUACACAACCUCAAAUACUUGAGGUAGGUCUAGAUUCCCUUUUAUUCAGCCUUUGUUUCUGCCUCUAUUUACUGUUUUAUGUCCCAUUUAUUCUUUUUUUUUUUAAGAGAGAGGAGGAGAGACAGCGGGGAGAGACAGAGAGAGAGAAUAUUUUUUAAUAUUUAUUUUUCAGUUUUCGGUGGACACAACAUCUUUAUUUUAUGUGGUGCUGAGGAUCCAACCCAGCGCCCCGCGCAUGCCAGGCGAGCGCGCUACCGCUUGAGCCACAUCUCCAGCCCCCAUUUAUUCUUAGCAUGCAAAUGACCCCCCUCAAACUGAGUGUUGGCGCUUGGGGGGGGGGGGGUUAUCACUAGAUCACGCAUUUCAAGGGUCGCAAAAGAGAGAAAGAUGAACACUAAUAUAUUUCAUGGAUAAAUGAUUAAGACAGCUGUUCAAAAACACCAAACCUGUGUCAGCCACCCAAAAUUCUCUUCAAAGUUUCCUUAUUUUGUGUAACUACUUUAAGUGGGUUUACUUCACUAUUAGUAAAUUAAGUCCUCAUCCUAAAUCAAGUUAACCUUUGCCUUUCAUUAGAUGUUAAAAACAAAUUAUGUGAAUGGAGGAAUCAAAAGAGAAGAAGAGGGGGCUGAAGAUGUAAGUCACUAGUACAAUGCUACUCUGCAAGGCCUGGGUUAGAUCCCCUCUACUGCAAAAAACAUAUUCACAAGAAGGUCUUGUUAUUCAACUAGAGAUAUCAAAUCGACUGCUGGAGUAUGGGGGAGCUUUGUCCGACAGAUGAAAAUUAAGAGCAUCAUCAACAUAAGUAAUGCAGAUGAUCCUUGACAUAUGAUGGAGGUAGAGCCUUAUAAACAUAUUGUAAAUUGAAUAUAAGUAAAAAAGUGUAUUCAAUAUAUUUAACCUAUCAAACAUCCUAACACAGCAACAAAGUACACUACUAGUGUUCCCCCUUCUUACCAGGUGACUAAUUUAGCUGCCAUGGCCCAGCAGUACUACUACAUUGUGUUUUGCAGCCCAGGGAAAAGAUCAAAAUUAGAAACAUGUUUCUAUUGACAGUUCUAUUCAUGGCAUUGUAAAGUCAAAAAAUGACAUGUUGAAGCAUAGGAAGUUGGGGCCCAUUUGCAUCUACAGCAUUAAGAAUAGGUAAGAUCACCAAAGAAAAUAUAUCAAGAAAAGGACAAGGACUAAACCCUGAGAACCUUCUAAAUAUAGAGAAGUCAGGUCUCUAAACAAGAGAGUGAAUGAGGAAAAGGAAAACCAGGAGAGUGUGAUAGUUCAGAAGCCAAGGAAAAUUAACACCAUAGGGACCAACAGUGACCUUAUAAAAUGCAGGUCAUUGAAGUAGGGCCAGGUUGGAGUAGCUGAAGACUUGAGUUGGAGAUGGAAAAAGAUAUUUCAGAAAUUGUAUCAAGAAGAGCAGCAGAAAAAUACAACUGUAGAAGAAUGUGAGGUGAGGGUGGACUUUUUUUUUUCUUUUAGGAUUUUGAUUUUUUAUCUUUUAUAUGAGAUGUAUUGUAGAAAAUGUUUUCUAAUGGUAAUGAUUCAAUGGAGAGGGAAAUAUUGAUGAUGUAGGAGACAGCAAAAAGACCACUAUAGUAGCAAAGUCCUUGUGGUGGCAAGAAGGUAUGGAAUUUUAAGUACAAGCGGAAAGAAUGCCAUUGGUAGAGGCAGGGACAUUUCUACAUUGUAUUAAGACAGUGAUGAUGGGCAUGUAUACAAUCUGGUUUUUAAAUUAGGAGAGGGUCUAGGAAGGAUAUCUUUCAUGAUCACUCCUAUUUUUUGGUGAAAUUCGAGGCACAGUCAUUAGCUAGGAGGUGAGGGAGAGAAUGGAGAAGGUUUGAAAAGAGAGGAGAAAACAUGAGACACUUUGAAGAGAAGUGAGAUCCCUUCUGAGAAGCUAUUUGAGUUUUGUGAUCAUGAAUUUGAAGUAAAACAUCCAGUUUGCAUGAAUCUGUUUCUCCAAAAGGGUUUUGAGGGUUUUUCCAUGAGAGAGAAGAGUAAGAUGACACAAGUCUGUAAUGCCAGCAGUUCUGAAGGCCAAGACAGGAGGAUGGUAAAUUUGAGGCUAGCCUCUACAACUCAGCAAGACCCUGCCUCAAAAUAAAAAAAUAAGUAAUAAGAAUAAAGAACUGGGCUGGAGUGCCUGUGGGUUCAAUCCCCAGUACUUAAGGAAAACCUGGGGUGGGGGGGAGGCAAUAAGGGAAUUGAGGUGUUUGCCAGAGAAUGAUUAGAAUGAAAAACCAUAGAAUCUAAACUGGGUGAGGAAGGAAGAAAAGGGAAAUGAGGAACGUGUGAGAGUGUGGAUGGGAGUAGUGGGUGACAGUAGUGAAAGUUGCAAAGAAUUUAGGAAGUAGCCCUAAACCUUAGUCAAUUAACAUACACUAGGAGAGGAGAAUGCGCUUGAUCCUGAGGGGCUGCAGUAGCUGUGAGUUGUUUUUUUUUUGUUGUUGUUGUUUUGUUUUUGGUACCAGGAAUUGAACCCAGGGCCCCUCCUUUUUUUUUUUUUUGUACUUCAUUAGAGACGGGGUCUUGCUUAGUUGCAUAGGGUUUUGCUUAGUUGUGUAGGGCAACUACGAGACAUUUUAAUCCAAAUAUUAGGAAUCUGUGCCAAGACAAUGAACUUCAAAAAUGAAGAUUGAAAAGAAAGUUAGGGGGUUUCUCAUUUAUUGUAAUGGAUAUUGACAGAGGUUUGCAAAUAAAAUCAUCAGUUCUCAUUUUUGGUUUCACUUUUUGCCCAACAGAAUAACUAGUCUCAGUAUUCUUUGGGGGAAGUAGUGACAAGCUAACUCUGCCAUCUAAUUGGUCUUUAUUAUUGAAUUUCCUCCUGUGUUUCUGAGUCCCUGCUCUGGGACAUCUGUAAUGAAAAGUAUAAAAUUCAAUAUAUACUUCAGACCUAAAAUCCAAAAUUGAACUUAACACUCAUCCCCCACCCCUACCUUUUUAUAUAUAUAUAUAUAUAUAUAUAUAUAUAUAUAUAUAUAUAUAUAUAUUCAUUCUAAUUUGUUAUAUAUGACAAUAGAAUGCAUUACAAUUCAUAUUACACAUAUAGAGCACAAUUUUUCAUAUCUCUGGUUGUACACAAGUAUAUUCACACCAUUCGUGUCUUCAUACAUGUACUUUGGAUAAUGAUGUCCAUCUCAUUCCACCAUCAUUUCUAACCCCAUACCCCCUCCCUUCCCUUCCCACCUCUUUGCCCUAUCUAGAGUUUGUCUAUUCCUCCCAUGCUCCUCCUCCCUACCCCACUAUGAAUCAGCCUCCUUUUAUCAGAGAAAACAUUUGGCAUUUGUUUUUGGGGGAUUGGCUAACUUCACUUAGCAUUAUAUUCUUUAACUCUGUCCAUUUACCUGCAAAUACCAUGAUUUUAUUUUCUUUUAUUGAUGAGUAAUAUUCCAUUGUGUAUAUAUGCCACAUUUUUUAUCCAUUCGUCUACUUGAGGGCCCUUUUUAUACUCUUUUAGUUAUUGAAGCCAGAGUUCCCACUCCUCAUCCCUUGUCCAUAUGCUGUCAAUAUGUCUUAAAAGGACCUUGACCAGGUCCUCCUUUUUAUCUACUGCUGCAACCUUAGUUCAGCCCAUGUCAACUCACUUCUGCUAUUGCCAACCAUCUCUUGAUUUCUCUCCCUGUUGCAUCUAAUCUUGCCCCUACUCACCUUAGAGAGUAUUGUUUGGAACACAAAUCAGAUUGUUUCACUUCCUUGCUAACAACUCUUCUAUGGCAAUGAUCUCCAGACUUCUUUACUCUCAUAUCCCUGUAGGGGAAUGGGAGGAAGGCAUGCACUUCCAACCUAUGUUGUAUGUUCAGAUAGAAAUGAUGUGUGUAAUAGGGAGGAAGAGCAUGAGAAGAAGAUUACCACUAAAUAGGGAAGAGAGGUGGGAGGGAAAAGGAGGAAGAAGGGGAGUUGCACGGAAGAUGGAAGGAAACCCUCAUUGUUAUACAGAAUACAUGUAUGAUGUUGUGAGGCGAAAAAGAAAAAAAAGUGUGUCACAUUAGAUUGGAUAGAGAGAAGUAAUGGGAGAGGUGGGGAGGGGAAGGGGAGAUAGGAAGGGCAGCAGAAUAGAUUAGAAAUUAUGAUUGCUGAAUGUAUAUAGGUGACUGUAUGACCAAUGUGAUUCUGCAAUCUGUACAAUCAGAAAAAUGAGAAAUUAUACCCCAAUUGAUUCAAAUGUAUGAAUUGCCAAGAUCAUUGUAAUGUCAUGUGUAACUAAUAAAAAAAAAUGAUGUGUGUAUAUAUAGUACUAUACAAAUGUUUACCUUAUAAUAUCCCAAAAUAGAAAAGAUAACAAUAAGUAAAACAGAAGUUCUAAUACUUUUGCCUAACUGGAUCAUCUUAAGCUUCCCUUUUUUACUUUUUUUAUUUUUUUGUAGUUGUUUGAUGGACAGCAUGCCUUUAUUUGUUUCAUUUUUACGUGGUGCUAAGGAUUGAACCCAGUGCCUCACACAUGCUAGGCAAGUGCUCUGCCACUGAGCUACAGCCCCAGCCAUUGAGUUUCCCUUUCUGCCAAGCCCUUUUGGAGCCACUGGCUUAGAGGGUACUACUCAAUUCUUAGCACAAAAGUUCUUAUCCAUGGGCUCUUUUCUGUACAUAUAGUCUCAUUCCCUGCUAUUUCCCUGCAUGUCUAAAUUCCAACCAUAACAGAUAGCCUGCAUGUACUGGGCUUCAUGUGUGCAUAUCAUGACUGCCAAGAAUGUGCUUUCUCCCAUGACCAUUUCCAGACCAGUUAGGUUAGGGAUUAUUUACUAGAGGAAGUCAUUUUUUAUCACCACCAUUCCACAUAUCAAAUGAGGUCCCCAUAAAAGCCUGUCAUCAACCAUAUUAUAACUUUUGUUAUGCUUCAUUAGAAUAAUUUGUGUGUUUUGCCCAUAAAACUGUAAGCUUCUUAAUUAAUAUAAUGAGUAGAUUUCUUAAAACUUAGCCUUGCUUGCAUUCCUGAAAUAAAUCUCCUCACAAAGUGUAUUUAUUAUAAAUGAAGUUUUGUUUUUUUUUUAACUAUAAACUCCUCCAGGCUAUGAUUUGUAUUUCAUUGACCUUUGUGUCCUAGGGCCAAAGGGCACUUAAUAAAAUAUUGAUGGAUUAAUAAGUGAAUGAAUGCUUUCUUGGUAAAGAUACUUAAGCAGACAUGUAUAAGAGGAAAUCAUAGCCUGGAGUUUCAUAUUUAUUUACCAAGCAAUAUAUCAACUCUUUUUUUUUUUUAAGAGAGAGAGAAUUUUUUUUUAAUAUUUAUUUUUCAGUUUUUCGGCGAACACAACAUCUUUGUAUGUGGUGCUGAGGAUCGAACCCCGGCCGCAUGCAUGCCGGGGGAGCACACUACAGCUUGAGCCACAUCCCCAGCCCCAAUAUAUCAACUCUUAACAAACCAAAUAUAGGACUCCAGACCUGUUUUAAAGCUAAUUCAACUUUUUAAUGAGUGUUGAAUGGAAAUAUCUUAGUGUAUGUCAAGCAUUAAUCCACCCAAUAAUUGUAUUGUUGGUGCUAAUUCUGUUUUUACAGAGGGACAAAACUAAGACAGCACAGUUAAAUAUUGUGUUCAAGAUCAAACAGCUACUGAAUAGAAUCUCAGUUCAGGUCUCUAUGAUGCCAAAGUUCAUGCUCUUAUGUAAUACUUCCUGCCUUCUCUGUUCUAGGAUUUUCCCCACCUGAUAUGACCGAGUACCACACACAUUACAAUGCAUACAUCCCUGUGGAUAUAAUGAGGACUAAGAAGAGGCCUGAUUAUAUAAUCUACUUCUACCAAGACCAAUGCAUAUGAUAAAACAAGAAUAUCUGCUUGGGUUUGGGGGCGUAGCUUUAUGGUAGAGUGCUUACCUAGUGUGCUGAAGGUCCUGCAUUUCAGUCCCCAACAUUGCAAAAGGAAAAAAAUGUUAAAAAAAGAAUGACUGCCUGGGUGAGACCAGUGUAUUGCCAAAUCCAGACCCAUGCUAAUGCAAAGAAAAGGUGAAGCUGGGGAGCAAAGACCUACUGUCGAGUCUUAGAGCCACAGCACAGGCAACACGGAAGAACGGAGCUAGUCAUCGUAAACCCUCUGUCAUCUGAUGCCUCAUUUUAAAAAUGAAUAGAGGUUACAUUUCAGAAUUUCAAACUUUCUGAUUUUCAGACAUUUACCACUGCUUCCAAAUGUUUCAGAAUCCAUGUACAGGGCUGGGGAUGUGGCUCAAGCGGUAGCGCGCUCGCCUGGCAUGCGUGCGGCCUGGGUUCAAUCCUCAGCACUACAUAAAAAAAAAAACAAAAGAUGUUGUGUCCGCCGAAAACUAAAAAAUAAAUAUUAAAAAAUUCUCUCUCUCUCUCUCUCUCUCUCUCUCUCUCUCUCUCUUAAAAAAAAAGAUGUUGUGUCCACCGAAAACUAAAAAAAUAAAUUUAAAAAUUAAAAAAAAA